ACGGCUCAGUAACACGUGGAUAACCUGCCCUUGGGUCCGGCAUAACCCCGGGAAACUGGGGAUAAUUCCGGAUAACGCACAUAUGCUGGAAUGCUUUAUGCGUAAAAUGGAUUCGUCUGCCCAAGGAUGGGUCUGCGGCCUAUCAGGUAGUAGUGGGUGUAAUGUACCUACUAGCCUACAACGGGUACGGGUUGUGAGAGCAAGAGCCCGGAGAUGGAUUCUGAGACAUGAAUCCAGGCCCUACGGGGCGCAGCAGGCGCGAAAACUUUACAAUGCGGGAAACCGUGAUAAGGGGACACCGAGUGCCAGCAUCAUAUGCUGGCUGUCCAGGUGUGUAAAAUACACCUGUCAGCAAGGGCCGGGCAAGACCGGUGCCAGCCGCCGCGGUAACACCGGCGGCCCGAGUGGUGAUCGUGAUUAUUGGGUCUAAAGGGUCCGUAGCCGGUUUGGUCAGUCCUCCGGGAAAUCUGACGGCUUAACCGUUAGGCCUUCGGGGGAUACUGCCAGGCUUGGAACCGGGAGAGGUAAGAGGUACUACAGGGGUAGGAGUGAAAUCUUGUAAUCCCUGUGGGACCACCUGUGGCGAAGGCGUCUUACCAGAACGGGUUCGACGGUGAGGGACGAAAGCUGGGGGCACGAACCGGAUUAGAUACCCGGGUAGUCCCAGCCGUAAACGAUGCUCGCUAGGUGUCAGGCAUGGCGCGACCGUGUCUGGUGCCGCAGGGAAGCCGUGAAGCGAGCCACCUGGGAAGUACGGCCGCAAAGGCUGAAACUUAAAGGAAUUGGCGGGGGAGCAC
This 797-nucleotide ribosomal RNA is filed under the name uncultured Methanosarcinaceae archaeon. RNAcentral's name for it is "bacterial SSU rRNA". It matches the Rfam family "Archaeal small subunit ribosomal RNA", at positions 85 to 879 of the family's 1478-position model. Lineage: Archaea; Methanobacteriati; Methanobacteriota; Methanomicrobia; Methanosarcinales; Methanosarcinaceae. The record is from RNAcentral.